RNAcentral lists this non-coding RNA (108 nucleotides) under Pontibacillus litoralis. RNAcentral's name for it is "SAM-I sequence". It matches the Rfam family "SAM riboswitch aptamer (S box leader)". From Rfam's summary of the family: The SAM riboswitch is found upstream of a number of genes which code for proteins involved in methionine or cysteine biosynthesis in Gram-positive bacteria. Lineage: Bacteria; Bacillati; Bacillota; Bacilli; Caryophanales; Bacillaceae. The record is from RNAcentral. RNAcentral also lists the same sequence under 1 other name.
CUCUUAUCCAGAGCGGUGGAGGGACUGGCCCUAUGAAACCCGGCAACCAUCAAACCAUGUUUGAAAGGUGCUAAAUCCUGCUAAGUAAUGUACUUAGAUAGAUGAGAG